CAGAAAGCUGGGUCCCUGUGGGCAGGUGAUGCUCCGUGCCGUCCAGCAGCCACCGCAGCCUGCUUCAGGAGCAGCAUUUUCACUGCUGGCUGCAGCGAGGGCCGAGGUGGGAGGAAUUAAAGGGUUGCUCAAGGAUCCACCGGGCUCUAAGGACUCCCCUGGGGAGGAUAAAAAGGAAUUAAGAAGGACUUUUAUUGAUGAGGAUAUGUUGCUUGUGCACACAAAAGAGCGUAAUUGUAAACUGAGGCACGGCGCUGCUGAAGCCUUAAGCUCCAUUUCCCUCUGGCUGCAGGGGAGCUGUGCAUGUUCAGCACCUCUGGAAGUCAGAGCAGCAAGGACAGGCACAGACCAACCCCAGAACUGCGGCACCAACCAGAGGAACACCAGAAAUCAAUCCCAUCCCACAGGCUAUGCCAGGCUCGUGUCUAUCUGUUGGAAGGCUCCCAGGAUCAGAGCGAUUCCCCACUGUUUAGCAACCCCUGCCUCUGUGUCAGCCCCAUUAGCAGCAGCACUGCUAUCGAUUCUCCUGGUCACAGUGAGGUGGACGUGA
Molecule: long non-coding RNA, 550 nt
Filed under: Anas platyrhynchos platyrhynchos (common mallard)
Lineage: Eukaryota; Metazoa; Chordata; Aves; Anseriformes; Anatidae
Description: lncRNA (ENSAPLG00000020032.1)
Source: RNAcentral